UUGGGGUGGUACCUUAAUAUGUCCGACCAGUUGAGUGGUCCGUGUUGGGUUUUCACAACGUCCGGGUUUUUGUAUAUAAGUAGCAGCGAAAAUUUUCGCCCGUAAACAGCUUGUACUGAUAAACGCAUGCAAAGAUGAGGGCUGUAUUAAUCUCCAUUGCCGUUGUGGCCUGUUGUGUGGUUACGGCCAGGAGCGAGGCCUAUGGUAACUAUGGCGACGGCGUGGGGAGCCAAUACUUACAAAAAGGUCAUAUCAACCAGUACAGCACUGGGGGAUACACCAAGGCUUACUCCUCAUACCCCACGUAUUCUGGAUAUUCCGGAUAUGGCAAAAAAGCUGCAGUGAAGAAACAGGUUAUAUGGAAUCCGCCAUUCUCUGCCCCUCUGUUCACACCCUCCUCGACCCUACCAUCUGACGAAAACUCCAUUUUCAACGGCGAUGGAACUCUUUUGAUGGUUCUGCUUGUCGGAUUCCUCCUCCUCCGAGCCAGCAACUCCGGUUAAAACAGAUUUAACUAAUAAAGUAUCAUGGUCUACUCCAAGGAGAAGCCAAAAUCGCAGGGUAUUUUUGUUUCAAAUUGUGCUAAUAAAAAAUAAAUAAUUUUGAUUAAAAUGAAGACUGAAAUUUG
Molecule: long non-coding RNA, 628 nt
Organism: Pecten maximus
Lineage: Eukaryota; Metazoa; Mollusca; Bivalvia; Pectinida; Pectinidae
Exons: 4
Source: RefSeq, a predicted model, not a curated record